RNAcentral lists this transfer RNA (63 nucleotides) under Laetmonice producta. Its description in RNAcentral is "tRNA-Gly". Lineage: Eukaryota; Metazoa; Annelida; Polychaeta; Phyllodocida; Aphroditidae. The record is from RNAcentral.
UCUUUUUAAGUAUAAUUGUACAUUUGUUUUCCAAACAAAAAGCUUGUUAAUGCAAAAAAAGCA